Molecule: non-coding RNA, 216 nt
Organism: Vicia faba (fava bean)
Lineage: Eukaryota; Viridiplantae; Streptophyta; Magnoliopsida; Fabales; Fabaceae
Source: the annotation of a GenBank genome assembly
AUGUGGUGUAUAUCAGAUGAGUGUAAGAGAGAGUAUUUAAAUAAAAUGUCUUCACAAGUUUUCAUUUUUUUCAUUUCAUUCCUCUCUCUUCAUCAGAACUCCCUCUCUCUCACACUAAAAUGCUCCCACCUCUCUCUAUAUUUCAGGCGAUCGGAAAUUGUUACCACCAGCCAAAAAUCGCUUCUACCAGUGGCUCCAUUUAACACCACCAAGUAA